GCCCCGAUAGUGUAGUCCGGUAACGAAGUUCGUUCAUCGUUUUUGUGCUAACACCGAGAAACGAUUCCUAAUCUACGACCGGAAUCACUUGGUAACAAACAGCGAUUUCGUUGGAUAACCAAUCAUCUCGGAUUCUCGAUCCGAGGACGUGGGUUCGAAUCCCGCUCGGGGCA
Molecule: transfer RNA, 173 nt
Filed under: Nanobdellota archaeon
Lineage: Archaea; Nanobdellati; Nanobdellota
Description: tRNA-Glu
Source: RNAcentral